This 724-nucleotide small RNA is filed under the name Pan troglodytes (chimpanzee). RNAcentral's name for it is "processed transcript". The record is from RNAcentral. Lineage: Eukaryota; Metazoa; Chordata; Mammalia; Primates; Hominidae.
AAGUCAUCUUUUAAACGCAAAAGAACUGAAGAACAAGCGUUCUGUGAUUUGAAUGACAGCAAGUGCAAAGGCACAACACUGAAAAAAAUUAUAUUUAUAGAUAGCACCUGGAACCAAACAAACAAAAUAUUCACUGAUGAGCGACUUCAAGGAAUGUACCAGGUCAUCCAGGGUAUCAUCUCUCCUGUCAACGACACCUAUGGGAAGAAAGACCUCGCAGCUUCUCAUCACCGAGUGGCCAUGGCCCGGCUGGCCCUGCAGACAUCCGACUGGAUCCGGGUGGACCCCUGGGAGAGUGAGCAGGCACAGUGGAUGGAGACAGUGAAGGUGCUGAGGCAUCAUCACAGUGAACUGCUCAGAUCUCCACCCCAGAUGGAAGGCCCAGACCAUGGCAAGGCACUCUUCUCGACCCCUGCAGCUGUGCCUGAGCUGAAGCUUCUCUGCGGGGCAGACGUCUUGAAGACCUUCCAGACCCCCAACCUCUGGAAGGAUGCACACAUCCAGGAAAUAGUGGAGAAGUUUGGCUUGGUGUGCGUGGGCCGAGUAGGUCACGACCCAAAAGGUUACAUCGCAGAAUCUCCCAUCCUACGGAUGCACCAGCACAACAUUCACCUGGCCAAGGAGCCUGUGCAGAAUGAGAUCAGUGCCACAUACGUCAGGCGAGCCUUGGGCCAAGGGCAGAGCGUAAAGUACCUGAUUCCCGAUGCUGUCAUCACCUACAUCA